GAUGAAGAACGUAGCGAAAUCCGAUAAGUAAUGUGAAUUGCAGAAUUCAGUGAAUCAUCGAAUCUUUGAACGCACAUUGCGCCCCCUGGUAUUCCGGGGGGCAUGCCUGUCCGAGCGUCAUUACAACCCUCAAGCUCAGCUUGGUGUUGGGCCCCGCCGCCCCGGCGGGCCCUAAAGUCAGUGGCGGUGCCGUCCGGCUCCGAGCGUAGUAAUUCUUCUCGCUCUGGAGGUCCGGUCGUGUGCUUGCCAGCAACCCCCAAUUUUUUUCAGGUUGACCUCGGAUCAGGUAGGGAUAUCCGCUGAACUUAAGCAUAUCAAUAAGCGGAGGA
Molecule: unclassified non-coding RNA, 329 nt
Filed under: soil metagenome
Description: partial contains 5.8S ribosomal RNA, internal transcribed spacer 2, and large subunit ribosomal RNA
Rfam family: 5.8S ribosomal RNA (bases 1-120)
Source: RNAcentral